AUUGAACGCUAGCGGCAUGCCUUACACAUGCAAGUCGAACGGCAGCACGGGGCAACCUGGUGGCGAGUGGCGAACGGGUGAGUAAUGUAUCGGAACGUGCCCAGUAGCGGGGGAUAACUACGCGAAAGCGUAGCUAAUACCGCAUACGCCCUACGGGGGAAAGGGGGGGAUCGCAAGACCUCUCACUAUUGGAGCGGCCGAUAUCGGAUUAGCUAGUUGGUGAGGUAAAGGCUCACCAAGGCUUCGAUCCGUAGCUGGUUUGAGGGGACGACCAGCCACACUGGGACUGAGACACGGCCCAGACUCCUACGGGAGGCAGCAGUGGGGAAUUUUGGACAAUGGGGGCAACCCUGAUCCAGCAAUGCCGCGUGUGCGAAGAAGGCCUUCGGGUUGUAAAGCACUUUUGGCGGGAACGAAACGGUGCCGGAUAAUACCUGGCGCCACUGACGGUACCCGCAGAAUAAGCACCGGCUAACUACGUG
This 482-nucleotide ribosomal RNA is filed under the name uncultured bacterium. RNAcentral describes it as "partial 16S ribosomal RNA". It matches the Rfam family "Bacterial small subunit ribosomal RNA", at positions 29 to 507 of the family's 1533-position model. The record is from RNAcentral.